RNAcentral lists this small RNA (573 nucleotides) under Pongo abelii (Sumatran orangutan). RNAcentral's name for it is "retained intron". The record is from RNAcentral. Lineage: Eukaryota; Metazoa; Chordata; Mammalia; Primates; Hominidae.
AGCAUAUCAAGAGGGCAGGCCAGGAAGCCAACGGCACUGGAGGCUCCCUCAGGUGAGGCUUGGACCCCACAGCCCAGCAGCAACAGAGCGGAAAAGGCUCUGGAAGCCUGUGUCAGCCCUCGGGUGGCACCCCCAUGACCGGAAAGGACUUGAAGCAGGCUUCUUCUGGGCAUCUAGGGGAAAAGCUAGCCUUCCUGCAAACUGGGCUGCCCCCUUCCUCCUAGGAGAUGGAUCUAGAAAGCCUGGAGGCUGCUAACCAGAGCCUGCAGGCUGACCUAAAGCUGGCAUUCAAGCGCAUUGGGGACCUGCAGGCCGCCAUCGAGGAUGAGAUGGAGAGUGAUGAGAAUGAGGACCUCAUCAACAGUGAGGGAGACUCGGAUGUGGACUCGGAGCUGGAGGACCGUGUCGAUGGGGUCAAGUCCUGGUUGUCAAAAAACAAGGGACCUUCCAAGGCAGCUUCUGAUGAUGGCAGCUUAAAGAGUUCCAGCCCCACUAACUACUGGAAGUCCCUUGCCCCUGAUCGGUCAGAUGAUGAGCACGACCCUCUCAACAACACCUCCAGACCCCGAUACU